CACGGGGGGAGCAAGCGUUGUUCGGAAUCACUGGGCGUAAAGGGCGUGUAGGCGGUCAGAUAAGUGGAAUGUGAAAUGCCCCGGCUCACCCGGGGACCGGCAUCCCAAACUGUCUGGCUUGAGUAUGGGAGAGGAUGAGGGAAUUCCGGGUGUAGUGGUGAAAUGCGUAGAGAUCCGGAGGAACACCAGUGGCGAAGGCGACACGCUGGGCCGUACCUGACGCUAAAGCGCGACAGCAUGGGGAGCAAACGGG
Molecule: ribosomal RNA, 253 nt
Filed under: uncultured bacterium
Lineage: Bacteria
Description: partial 16S ribosomal RNA
Rfam family: Bacterial small subunit ribosomal RNA
Source: RNAcentral